GACAGAGGCCUCAAGCGUUAGGCGGAAUCACUGGGCUUAAAGCGUGUGUAGGCGGAUCGUUAAGUGUCUUGUGAAAUCCCACGGCUCACCCGUGGAACUGCUGGGCAUACUGGCGAUCUUGGGCCAACUAGGGGCAACUGGAACAAGCGGUGGAGCGGUGAAAUGCGUAGAUAUCGCUUGGAACGCCAAAGGUGAAAACAGGUUGCUGGGGUUGUGCCGACGCUGAGACACGAAAGCCCAGGGGAGCAAAACGGGG
This 256-nucleotide ribosomal RNA is filed under the name uncultured bacterium. RNAcentral describes it as "partial 16S ribosomal RNA". It matches the Rfam family "Bacterial small subunit ribosomal RNA", at positions 524 to 778 of the family's 1533-position model. The record is from RNAcentral.